GACGAACGCUGGCGGCGUGCUUAACACAUGCAAGUCGAACGGUGAACCUCUUCGGAGGGGAUCAGUGGCGAACGGGUGAGUAACACGUGGGCAACCUGCCCCCGGCUCUGGGAUAACUCCAAGAAAUUGGGGCUAAUACCGUAUGUUCACCGCUUCCCGCAUGGGUGGUGGUGGAAAGGGUUUCCGGCUGGGGAUGGGCCCGCGGCCUAUCAGCUUGUUGGUGGGGUAGUGGCUGACCAAGGCGACGACGGGUAGCCGGCCUGAGAGGGUGACCGGCCACACUGGGACUGAGACACGGCCCAGACUCCUACGGGAGGCAGCAGUGGGGAAUAUUGCGCAAUGGGCGGAAGCCUGACGCAGCGACGCCGCGUGGGGGAUGACGGCCUUCGGGUUGUAAACCUCUUUCAGCAGGGACGAAGCGCAAGUGACGGUACCUGCAGAAGAAGCACCGGCCAACUACGUG
This 463-nucleotide ribosomal RNA is filed under the name uncultured bacterium. RNAcentral's name for it is "partial 16S ribosomal RNA". It matches the Rfam family "Bacterial small subunit ribosomal RNA", at positions 28 to 507 of the family's 1533-position model. The record is from RNAcentral.